UACGUAGGGGGCAAGCGUUGUCCGGAAUUAUUGGGCGUAAAGAGCUCGUAGGCGGCUUGUCACGUCGGGUGUGAAAGCCCGGGGCUUAACCCCGGGUCUGCAUUCGAUACGGGCUAGCUAGAGUGUGGUAGGGGAGAUCGGAAUUCCUGGUGUAGCGGUGAAAUGCGCAGAUAUCAGGAGGAACACCGGUGGCGAAGGCGGAUCUCUGGGCCAUUACUGACGCUGAGACGCGAAAGCGUGGGGAGCAAACAGG
This 253-nucleotide ribosomal RNA is filed under the name uncultured bacterium. Its description in RNAcentral is "partial 16S ribosomal RNA". It matches the Rfam family "Bacterial small subunit ribosomal RNA", at positions 524 to 776 of the family's 1533-position model. The record is from RNAcentral.